This 188-nucleotide unclassified non-coding RNA is filed under the name Wallemia sebi. RNAcentral describes it as "partial internal transcribed spacer region". The stretch from base 1 to 46 matches the Rfam family "Eukaryotic small subunit ribosomal RNA", at positions 1786 to 1831 of the family's 1831-position model. Lineage: Eukaryota; Fungi; Basidiomycota; Wallemiomycetes; Wallemiales; Wallemiaceae. The record is from RNAcentral.
AAGUCGUAACAAGGUUUCCGUAGGUGAACCUGCGGAAGGAUCAUUAGUGAUUAAUUAUUGAGUGUAAAAACUCAUAAUCUUCUAUUACAAACCACUGUUUUAAAAUGUUUACUAGAAUGUCCAAGCAGUUAAGCUGUUGAAAUUAUAAAAGUUUAAUAAAACUUUCAGCAACGGAUCUCUUGGUUCAG